Long non-coding RNA from Cydia fagiglandana, 532 nucleotides. RefSeq lists it as uncharacterized. NCBI's taxonomy places the organism in Eukaryota, Metazoa, Arthropoda, Insecta, Lepidoptera, Tortricidae. The record is from RefSeq and is a predicted model, not a curated record. The transcript is spliced from 2 exons.
UAAGAGCUACGGUUCCUUAAUCGACUACAGAGUUUAAUUAGAAAUAUACAAGCAAGGACGUAUGUUAGGAAAAAUUGAUUAAUUGUAAUUAGUAACGGACUGACGAGAAAAUAAAAAUUACAAGCAACUGCAAUACCAUUAGGAGGGUACUCGUGUGAUUGUAUAUAAGUCCAAUGAUAUGGCUUAGUUCCUCACUGUGCUCCCAGUAGGUAAACAACAUGAAGUUCGUCGUGAUAUUGAUUUUAUUCGGAUUGGUUGGUGGAAUUAUCUGUGAAUUUAUUUAUAGCCCGCACUCGAAACGGCUAAGUCAUAAACACAAAAAACGCUUGCACGGCUAUGACGAUGUCGAUUGUCGUAAACGCUGUCCGCGGCCGCAUCCUCCGUACCAUCCUUUCUGUGCCAGUAACUAUCGCAAUUAUCUCACAGAGUGUCUGAUGAACUGCGACAGCAGGGGCCUCGGUCUCUACAAGACACGCGACGGCCCAUGUUAGGUUGAAACACUCGUGUGUGGCUAAUAAACACCUACAUAUGU